RNAcentral lists this ribosomal RNA (1244 nucleotides) under metagenome. RNAcentral describes it as "bacterial LSU rRNA". It matches the Rfam family "Bacterial large subunit ribosomal RNA", at positions 1564 to 2818 of the family's 2925-position model. The record is from RNAcentral.
UGAAUACGAGACGCUAAGGCGUCGAAGUAGUGUAUGUCAUACUUCCAAGAAAAGCUUGCACUGUCAUAGAUAAAAAACGCCUGUACCAUAACCGACACAGGUGGGUAGGUAGAGUAUACUAAGGGGCGCGAGAUAACUCUCUCUAAGGAACUCGGCAAAAUAACUCCGUAACUUCGGGAGAAGGAGUGCCUUAUUCGUAAGGUUGCAAUAACAAGAUCCAAGCAACUGUUUAUCAAAAACACAGGUCUCCGCUAAGUCGUAAGACGAUGUAUGGGGGCUGACGCCUGCCCAGUGCCAGAAGGUUAAAGAAGUUGGUUAGCAAUUGCGAAGCUGAUAACUGAAGCCCUGGUGAACGGCGGCCGUAACAAUAACGGUCCUAAGGUAGCGAAAUUCCUUGUCGGGUAAGUUCCGACCCGCACGAAAGGCGUAAUGAUUUGGAUACUGUCUCGGAGAGGGGCUCGGUGAAAUAGACUUGUCUGUGAAGAUGCGGACUACCUGCACCAGGACAGAAAGACCCUAUGAAGCUUUACUGUAACUUGAAAUUGAAAUUGGACUUUAUUCGCGCAGUAUAGGUGGGAGGCGUUGAUUAUAAUCUUGUGGGAUUAUUGGAGCCAUCAGUGAGAUACCACUCUUGUAAUGUUAGAUUUCUAACUUUGAAUCAUUAUCUGGUCAAAGAACAGUUUCAGGCGGGCAGUUUGACUGGGGCGGUCGCCUCCUAAACGGUAACGGAGGCGUACAAAGGUUUCCUCUGAACGGUUAGAAAUCGUAUCUAGAGUGUAAGGCAUAAGGAAGCUUGACUGUGAGACCUACAAGUCGAGGAGGGACGAAAGUCGGUCUUAGUGAUCUGACGGUACUGAGUGGAAAGGCCGUCACUCAACGGAUAAAAGUUACUCUAAGGAUAACAGGCUGAUCUCCCCCAAGAGUUCACAUCGACGGGGAGGUUUGGCACCUCGAUGUCGGCUCAUCGCAUCCUGGGGCGGUAGUACGUCCCAAGGGUUGGGCUGUUCGCCCAUGAAAGCGGUACGCGAGCUGGGUUCAGAACGUCGUGAGACAGUUCGGUCCAUAUCCGGUGUAGGCGUUAGAAUAUUGAGAGGAGCCUUCUUUAGUACGAGAGGACCGAGAAGGACAUACCUCUGGUGUACCAGUUAUCGUGCCAACGGUAAACGCUGGGUAGCUAUGUAUGGAGUGGAUAACCGCUGAAAGCAUCUAAGUGGGAAGCCCACCUCAAGAUAAGUAUUCUCAUC